UCUUCAGUAUGACGCUAUACGCUUUAGAAACUUUCUUUAGUUUUGUAAUGUUUUCUUACAGUUUUUUCCGGGAUUUUAUCAACCUAAAUUAAUGCACUGACUAAUAAAGUAAAUUGUCAAAACUCAAACUUUAGAUUUUACUGGGGCACAGCAGAUUUAUACUGGGGCACGUGCCCCAGUAAAAAGGGUCUAACGACGCCCCUGGUCAGAAUUAUAUUAUCUUUUAGAGAUGAAUCAUCUGUUAUCAGCUUAGAGGUUUCCUUAUUGACUUCACCCACACCGGUCGAGCCAUGGUUUUAGUUGCAUAUAUGUCGCUAUAGCGACUUGGGCAAUAGAAAAGUUGCGUUUCUGUGAACAGGACAAAACUAAAUUGGUAAUGCCAAAUCAAGCCUCUUAGAAACAUGUUAUGAAUCGUAACCACUAGGGGGCAGUGAUGACUAAGUGUUACCAGUGAAUAAAUCAGGCACUUGACAAUAUAUUUACGAUUUUAUCUUGUUUAUUUAGUUUACCUUCAUUUAAACAGUGAUGCAUUUGGAAACUGAAGGUACUUUGCUGUAUAAGUUUGCAUUUCACGAUAGCAUUCUUUUGCUAAGUUUGUAGGCAAGUCAUGAUUCUUGUAACACUCUACACACAGGUAAAGUUCGAACCGUCCAGUUAUGUAGAGUUCUGUCACAGAAAACGCCUCAGAUGUUGGGUGUGGAGUUCCACUGGGAACCUAUUUUCCACACGCGGUGCCUGACGGUCCACAUACCUGCCUGGCCCCCAGCUACUGUAACAGCUGAAGAGCCAAUGUCAUGAGUCAUGUUCCGCAAAUGUACUCAACGCCCUUUCCAUUUUCUAAAGCUAUUACUGACACAGCAACUAUGCCUAUUGUUAACUAGUACACCACCGACAUAAAAGGCGAUGCGAGUUGAAGCGAUAAUGAAACAUGAAAUCAACCGCCCAGUUCUCCUCUGUAUUAAGAUAGCCCUACUAAAACAGUAUCCUGUUGGUUUCACAUUUCCAUUAUUCACUCAUAUUGGGUUGAAUCACAUUUUCAUCAUCCGACACUUUUAUGGUGGUCAUGCUCAACUACAGUAACGUGAGGUUAAGAUAAGGCCGAUCAUAUGAUCUGUGGAACAUCACUAGAAGAUGGUCUGACAGGCCUGUGAGUGACAGCUACUUUGUGGUUCAGACUGUCCAAUCAGGAGAGAUAGAACGGAGGUACGACCAAAACUCCUCUUUUCAUUGGCCAGGAAGGCAAGCUAAGGAUGCAUUCUAUUCAUACAUACACGUAAUAUGUCUGCGCUCAGAUGAAUGAAUGGCCACUACAAGGAGACAUUUAAGGGCAAACUGUUAUUGAUAACAAAAGCUAAAACUAACAAGUACAGAUAAUUAUUUUUACGGCAUUGUUAAAUUUCUAUGCGUCGCUGUAUAAGUGCAUGAUGCAAAUUAUCUUCGCUGACUCCAUCAUCUGUCAGGACGUUGGGAACAAACUGGACUGAGGAUUUCUCACCGACAAGACACAUUCAUUAUUUCAAAACCACCAAAUCCCGUGGAAUAUGGAUUUUGUUUUUGGGGGAGUGGCGGCCUGUGGGGCUUGUGUAUUUACAAAUCCUCUUGAGGUGGUGAAAACCCGCAUGCAGCUACAAGGAGAACUGAAGAGCAGGGGGUCAUAUCAAAUCUACUAUCGCAAUGUCUUCCACGCUUUUUACACUAUCGGCAAAGUAGACGGACUUGCUGGUUUACAAAAGGGCUUAGUCCCUGGACUCGUAUACCAAUUUUUCAUGAACGGUGUGAGACUCGGCUCGUAUGCUCUCAUCGAGACCUCCGGUUACAGCCAUACGGAUGGACGUGUCAGCGCAGCCAAGACCACCGUAGCGGGGGCCUUGGCUGGCGUGGCGGGCGCGGUGAUGGCGAGUCCCAUAUAUUUGGUAAAGACUCACCUUCAGAGUCAGUCCACCUCAUCUAUAGCGGUCGGACAUCAACAUAAACACCAGGGGAUGAUUCAAGCACUGGCAGCCAUCCACAAGCAGCAUGGCAUUCUGGGACUGUGGAGGGGCUCUAGUGCAGCGAUACCACGGGUCAGCGUUGGCUCGGCGGCUCAACUGUCCACAUUCUCCUCCUCCAAAGAGUUUGUCACAGAUUUACAAGAAGGAGCGAAAGGGAAGAAGGGAAAAGUGCCCUCCAGGAUUGCCACACAAAGGAGUACUCAGCAGAAACAGGACACCCCACACCCUCCUCACCCAGUCACGUGGAGAUAUUUCCAGAGGACAGCUGGCUGGUGGCUCUGACUGCUGGUCUGAUCAGCAGUGUUGUGGUGGUGUUGGCCAUGACACCCUUUGACGUGGUCAGCACUCGGCUCUACAACCAGCCAGUGGACCACUUGGGCAAGGGAGAGCUUUAUCGGGGGUUCGGAGACUGCUUCUCGCAGACGCUGAGGAAGGAGGGUCCGACGGGGCUCUACAAAGGCCUGGGGGCCUCGUACUUCCGCCUGGGGCCACACACCAUCCUGUCUCUGCUGCUCUGGAACGAACUACGCAAACUCUACCAGAACCACAGAUAGCCCAGGACACGAGAGGCUGUCAGUUGUAAAAAAUAGGUUACUCAUUAUGAUCCCGAGUGACAUAUAUCAAAUAUCCUCUCAUUUAAUGAAUGUAGUCCUGAGGGAAGAAAAGGGAAAGAGUUAUAGGAAGAUAUGCGAGGGAAGGACAUGCUUCAUGCACUCGAUUUGAAUAACUAUUCAGCUGUCCGGAAACAAGUAUGUACCAAAAUGAUACUGAACACUUGAAUCCUAUGACUAUGUUUUAACAGGUCUGAUGUGAGACACAGGAAAGAGGUAUACGGAAAUAUCCAUCAAAUCAAUAUUGCGUGGUCUAUUUAAGCUGAGGCAAAACGGAUUAUCUUGAAACCGACAGGUUGAGAUCUGUAUUUCUAUCACAAACCAUUUUGACUUAUAUCAUGUACUGUUAGUGCACAUCGUUAUCUGUUGUACAUUCCAAACAGUUCUCCACAUUUACGCACUCAUUUUUAUGUUUGAUUUAGUUAUUGUAGGAGCCAUGGAUUGAUUUAUUGUGAAUUGUGUUUAUUUUCGCAUAAUGUUAUAACUUUAGCGCUUGUAACUGAGACAGGUUUAUAGAAGUUUUUGGUCAUUCUUGCAACUUGCCUUACUGUCAAAAUUAAAGUGUUUUUGUGUUAGUGCCAUGGAUUGUCAAAAAUAAAAUAGGUGUACUUAUUUUUGACAAUACUGGCAGUAAAUACUGUUUCUAUUGAGAGAUCAUUUGUAGGACUGAUAAUACCUCAAUCAUUAAUAACGUUACUGAAACAUGUUACUGUUUAUGCAACUUUGCACCUGGGAAAUAAAGGAUUGACAUGAAUGUAACAUAACAUUAAGGUUAUUUUUGUUACAAAUGAAUAUAUGCAAUGCCACCUAAUCUCACAGGAGCAAAAAAUAAAAUAAAACCGAACAAAAACUA
Molecule: RNA transcript, 3455 nt
Organism: Hypomesus transpacificus
Lineage: Eukaryota; Metazoa; Chordata; Actinopteri; Osmeriformes; Osmeridae
Gene: slc25a35
Gene name: solute carrier family 25 member 35
Exons: 6
Source: RefSeq, a predicted model, not a curated record